This 246-nucleotide ribosomal RNA is filed under the name Staphylococcus aureus. RNAcentral describes it as "partial 23S ribosomal RNA". It matches the Rfam family "Bacterial large subunit ribosomal RNA", at positions 209 to 491 of the family's 2925-position model. The record is from RNAcentral. Lineage: Bacteria; Bacillati; Bacillota; Bacilli; Caryophanales; Staphylococcaceae.
CCCGGAGGAAAAGAAAUCAACCGAGAUUCCGCAAGUAGUGGCGAGCGAACGCGGAGGAGCCUGUACGUAAUAACUGUCGAGAUAGAAGAACAAGCUGGGAAGCUUGACCAUAGCGGGUGACAGUCCCGUAUUCGAAAUCUCAACAGCGGUACUAAGCGUACGAAAAGUAGGGCGGGACACGUGAAAUCCUGUCUGAAUAUGGGGGGACCAUCCUCCAAGGCUAAAUACUCAUCAUCGACCGAUAGU